This 887-nucleotide ribosomal RNA is filed under the name Stagonospora tauntonensis. RNAcentral describes it as "Stagonospora sp. TVS-2020a partial large subunit ribosomal RNA". It matches the Rfam family "Eukaryotic large subunit ribosomal RNA", at positions 52 to 956 of the family's 3401-position model. Lineage: Eukaryota; Fungi; Ascomycota; Dothideomycetes; Pleosporales; Massarinaceae. The record is from RNAcentral.
GGAGGAAAAGAAACCAACUGGGAUUGCCCUAGUAACGGCGAGUGAAGCGGCAAUAGCUCAAAUUUGAAAUCUGGCUCCUUUUAGGGGUCCGAGUUGUAAUUUGCAGAGGGUGCUUUGGCGUUGGUAGCGGUCUAAGUUCCUUGGAACAGGACAUCGCAGAGGGUGAGAAUCCCGUUUGUGGUCGCAUGCCUUCGCCGUGUAAAGCCCCUUCGACGAGUCGAGUUGUUUGGGAAUGCAGCUCUAAAUGGGAGGUAAAUUUCUUCUAAAGCUAAAUACUGGCCAGAGACCGAUAGCGCACAAGUAGAGUGAUCGAAAGAUGAAAAGCACUUUGGAAAGAGAGUCAAACAGCACGUGAAAUUGUUGAAAGGGAAGCGCUUGCAGUCAGACUUGCCCGUAGUUGCUCACCUAGGCUUUUGCCUGGGGCAUUCUUCUGCGGGCAGGCCAGCAUCAGUUUGGGCGGUCGGAUAAAGGUCUCUGUCAUGUAGCUUCCUUCGGGAAGAACUUAUAGGGGAGACGAAAUGCGACCAGCCUGGACUGAGGUCCGCGCUUCGGCUAGGAUGCUGGCGUAAUGGCUGUAAGCGGCCCGUCUUGAAACACGGACCAAGGAGUCUAACAUCUAUGCGAGUGUUUGGGUGUCAAGCCCGAGCGCGUAAUGAAAGUGAACGGAGGUGGGAACCCUUUGGGUGCACCAUCGACCGAUCCUGAUGUCUUCGGAUGGAUUUGAGUAAGAGCAUAGCUGUUGGGACCCGAAAGAUGGUGAACUAUGCUUGAAUAGGGUGAAGCCAGAGGAAACUCUGGUGGAGGCUCGCAGCGGUUCUGACGUGCAAAUCGAUCGUCAAAUUUGGGCAUAGGGGCGAAAGACUAAUCGAACUAUCUAGUAGCUGGUC